CAGGUUGCAGAAGCACUGGGUCUUGGUCAGGCUGCUCUGAGGCCCCGCCUGCAAUCAGAGGGAAUGAUGGGAGUCACUCCGGAGUCUGCUGCCACCCCGGAGAAAAGUCAGUGACACAACUUCGGAGAACCUUCGGGGCAGCCUCAGGCUUAGGGCUGCAAAUGAGGGUUUUGUUUGUUUGUUUGUUUUGCCAUUCCCAGCCUGGGCUAGAUACACACUCCAGAUAGCCGCAGGGACUAGACCUACAGUUUUACUGGGUUAGGGAAGUCCCAGGGAAGGAGACUCCGACCAACGCAGGAUGGGAAGGCAGAGGAGACCCCAGGGGAGUGAGGAAGCCUCGGAGAGGUUUGCAGAAGGAGUCACAGGUUCAAAGGCAGUGUGUCAGGACAUCAAAAAGGAGUAAGAGGAAAUGAUAAGCAAGAUGAUUUCGGAGAAAGCUAGAAAGAUCUUCAGGAACUGAUGCAGAGUGAAAUAAGCAGAACUGGGAGAACAUUAUGAAAUAAUUACAAUAUUGGAUGAUGAUCAUCUGUGAAAACUUGGCUACCCUCAUCAAUGCAAUGAUCUAGGACAAUCCUAAAAGACUAAAAUGGGGAAGGACAUCCAUGUCCAGAGGAAGAACUGUUGGAGUUGUCUUUCACAUGAGUGUAUUUAUGGUUUUAUUUUGGAGUUUCGGUUAUGAAUUAGUUUGCUCUUGUUACAGUGACCAAUAUGGCAGUGUGUUUUGCAUGACAAUAAAGAUACAAUUUCAAAAAAGAAAAUGGGGAUAAUAAUAGCAUCUAUUUUCCAGGGUUUAUAUGAGGAUCAAAAUGAAAUAAUUGUGAAGUGCCUGGAACAUAGUAAACAAACACCAUAUAAAUGUUAGUUAUUAUUAAUGAAUAUUGAUGCAGCAAAUAAGUCCUUGACAGGAAGCUAUCAAUAUAUUUUUUAAAAUUUCACUACAUACAAGUUGAAUUCAUACUAGGAAUGGAAGAAUGGUGCAACAUGAGGAAAACAGUUGGCACAAUAAUAGAAACAACAAAAUUAACAAAAAUUCAUGCAGAAAAAGCCUUUGAGCUUUCAUUUAUUUUAAAACCCUCCAAAACAUAUCCACAUGCAGUUUUUCUUUAAUAUUCUCAAAAGCACUUAUGUUAAACCAAUAGCUAACAGUGUUUGCAGAAACACUAGAUUCUCUAUGCAAAUAGGUAAAGCAAAGAGGUCUUUUCUCUCUACUAUCAUUAGAUAUAAUUCUAGAAGUGCUUGUUAUAGCAGUAAGAGAAUAAAAUGCUAAAUUUGGGCAAAGAGAAUUGUCUAUGAAUGCAGAGGACCUGAUGGUUGUUUAAAAAAAUCCUUAUGAAUCUGCAAGAAAUUAAAUGAUAAUAAAUGGUAUAUUAAUAAUAAAUGAUAUAUAUAAAUGAUAAUAAAAUUAAUAACUUUAGUAGGGUAACAGGAUGCAACAAAAAUCCAUCAAAAUCAUUAAUGUUUUUACAAGUAUUAGUAAAAAGCAGGAAGAAAAUAAAGUAAAAGCAAUUCCAUUAAAAUAACUAGAAAACGAAACUGCUGGGGAAACUGGAAAAAGGUAUGUUAUAGAUCAGCAUCUCAUACCACAAAUUAAGAUAAAAUCAAAAUGGAUAUGUGAUGUAGACAUAAAGGGUGCUAUCAUUAGCAAAUUAGGGGAGCAUCGAAUAGUUUACUUGCCAAAUCAAUGGAAAAUCUCUAAUAUUACUGAUUGGAUUUUACCUUUCUCCUGCAGCUGGUCCUUUGGGAGGGUGGUGUUCAAAUAAAAAUGAGUAAUAUUGGGUUGAUACUGGAAGCCAAGGUAGAGUGUGAUGGAAAGAGGAUUUUCAGGCUCUACCGAGACUACCAGAGAUUCCUCUAGGGAAGUGAUGUUUACUGUGAUCACAAAGCAGUUUGUACUCAUGUUGAAGCUGGUAGGAUAGGUUUCUAUGCUGCUGUCUCUCCAAAGCAUGAUCUAGAAUAAGAAAAGAUUUGUUGUCUUUAAAAUUUGAGGCUGUUCAUCAAUGCCCGGGGACGGUUUCGAAUGAGUUUGUAAAGGCAAUAAUCUUUGCUUCUCUCCUCUCUUUAUUAUUUAUUGGAGAUCAAUGUUAUAGGACUCAAGACCUAAGGAGUAAGUGCCCUAUUAUCUAGUAAAACAUCCCAGAACAAACAGUGUAUUAUUGAUCGUCUAUAUAGAUCCAUUUAGUACCAUAAACCAUGAAUUAAAAAAAAAAAAAUCCAAGCACCUGAGUCUUACAGCAAGGAAAAGGAUUGGGGACUAGUACUGUGAUAAACUUCAAGUCCUGAGGUUCGUGUUUUCUCCUCCAGGCCUAAAAUACUAUAUGUUUUUGUUAAAGCCUCCAGAGUAAGAAUGUAAAUAACAAGAUAAAGUGACUGAUAUUCAAUUAAAACUAUUUCUUCCCGCCUUGGCUAAGUCCUCUGAUCCUGUCUAUUAUUGCAAAGGGCCUAACACUCAAUAUCUACCUCUGCUUCUUCCAAGAGAUCCUGAACUUGGAGAGAUUUAUGAUUAGCAGUGAGUAGGACGUUUGCAAUGCUUCCAACAAUAUCCCGUUUAUCAAAAUUCUUGAAGGGAUUAAAAGCCAGCCCAGUAACCUAAAGACAAAGAGAAACCCAUUGUUACAACCUCAGCAAAGGGCAUAAGACACCAGAAGUUAGAGUAAAUGUUGAAGGGAUUUAUAGUAAUAGCUUCUGAAAUUAAAUACAAACAUCUGGCUCAGUGUCACACAGAAAGGAAUGAAAAUGAAAAUUAAUAAAAGACGAGUCACACUGUCGUGACUCCCAUAAUCUUGCUUUUAUGCCUGACCAUACACCUGGAGACUUGCCUUUUUGCCGAGUGGUAAACGUUGUGCUCUCUAGGGCAAGGGCAAGUGAUGUGACUAAAGCUAAUUAGGAGACCCAGAAAUAAAUGCUAUCAGAAAGGACCAAGUGCCGUGUCAGUCAUUAUUCAGAUUUUCUCAACUUUAAAUAGAAAGGACAGAGCCAUAACUAGGUAGCCUUGCAUCUAGGGUAAAUUCAGUUGAGGAAUGCAAUGGCUCUGGACCUCUGAAUCCCUGAAGUUUUAAGAAGAAAACUUGGAAUAUGGAAGGUAGAAGAUAGGCUUGGAGGAGAAAUAAAACUGCAAAGACAUUGGAUCUUGGGCACAAUCCCACUUACUCUACCCUGGUUAUGGCUCUGAUAGAGAUUUUAAGAGGGAAACAUGUUGAAAUCAUUCAAAUAAUAACAAAGAAUACAUACAUUAUAUAUAGAGAGGGGGGGAGGAGGGGAAAGAGAGAGAGGAAGAUGAGGAAAAGAGAAGAGAGAAAGAUAGGGAGUAGGAGAGAAAGAAAGAAAAAGAGAGGAUGAAGAGCAAGAGAGGGAGAGAGAAGAGGAGGAGAAGAGAGAGGAUGAGGAGCAUGAAGAGAAAAAAAAGAGAAGAGGAAGGGAGAGAGAGAGGAUGAGGAAGAAGAGAGGAGGAGGGAAGAGAGGAGAAGGUGUGGAGAGAAAGAGGGAGAGAGAGGAGGAGGAGAAGAGAGAGAAUGAGGAGCAUGAGGAGAGAGAAAAAGAGGAGAAGAGGAAGGGAGAGAGAGGAGAAGGAGGAAGAGAGAAAAAGAGAGGAUAAGGAAGAAGAGAGGAGGAGGGGAAAGAGGAGAAGGUGGGGAGAGAAAGAAAGAGAGGGGGAGAGAGGAUGAGGAGAGAGAAAGAGAAGAGGAAGGGAGAGGAGGAGAAGGAAAAGAGAGAGGAGGAGGAGGAGGAGAGAGAGAGGAACUUGGAAUGUCAUUUCACUGAUAUAGGGAAUUCCUGGAUGAGGCAAUUCAUUCCACCAAUGCAAGGUGGCACCUUCUCUAUAAUUUAUGGUUUUAGAGCACUGAGAGAUUAUAGGUAGGUCUUAAACUCAGGUCUUCAUGACUCUGAGGCUGGCCCACUAUCUCUUCCCUCUUGCCAUGCCACUUCUCACAGAGCAGAAAAGCCUGUGACAUAUGCCAAUAUAUUGCUCCUAUACAUUUCCACAGGAUUUAUGUAUAUAACAAGGUUUAUGUACUGCUCUCUUGAGUCAGCUCACAUUCAUAAGAGUAAUGUGACGAACUAUAUGACCACAACUACAAAACACUUUCCACACAACUAAAACUAGACUUGAACAAUUGGAAGAACAUUGACUGCUCAUGAGUAGGACGAGCCAAUAUGAUAAAAAUGACCAUCCUACCCAAACUCAUUUAUCUAUUUAGUGCCAUACCCAUUGAACUCCCCAAAUUUUUUUUUACCGAUUUGGAAAAAACCCUGACAAAGUUCAUUUGGAGGAACAGGGGAUAUGACUGAGGAGAGACUCUAAAUGAACACUCUAGAGCAAAUACCAACAACACGGAAAUGGGUUCAAAUCAAGAACACAUGUGAUACCCAGUGGAAUCAUGCGCUGGCUAUGGGGUGGGGGGGGAAGAAAAUGAUUUUUGUUUCCAAUGAAUAAUGUUUGGAAAUGACCAAAUAAAAUAAUGUUUAAAAAAAUGUGACGUUUAUCUAGCCCUUCAGCCAUGGCCAUCAGAACAGGGUUCUGUUUAGAAAUAACUUCAUACUCACAUGAAUGUUGACACUUUGGUGUUUAUUGAGGAGAUUGUCCAAAGCAGAGGCUGAUGGGAAACUUAAAUGCACAGGAGCUGGGUACUGAAUAGUGUAAGAGCUCAAAGACAAAGUUGAUAUAUUUUGACUGAGGAAAAAAGGGAAGAUGGAAUUAUUAUUUUUUUUCCAGAAAACCAGAACUCUAAAGGGAAGCUCCUUCCUUCGUCCCUUCUUCCUUACCUUCUUAGCAUCAUAGUGGCAAAAGAAGAGGUCACUAUCAGUGAAGACUCUGAAGGUUGGCUGUCCUGAAGGAAAGACUCCUGGAUCUUCCCCAGGGCUAUCAAAGAUGUCUCUAACAUGUCUUCCAUCUACAUUUAAAUGGAAAUACCAUCUAUAUCCUCCUCUCUACUCACCCGUCAGUGUACUUUUGAAGUGACAGUGUAGACAGAGGGAAAAUAAAAUUUCAAACAAAGAUGACCAGAUGUACCUUUUAGUUAUGAGACCCCAAAGAAGAGACCUUCAGACUGACUAAAGAUAGAUUAACCAUUAUUGAUUAAGAGAGAUAAUCAGGAAAUGUCUUUUUGCCCUAUAGCCAAGGCUGACCCUAAAAAUAUCAUGAGGCAUAAAUGUUUAAUUUUCCAAGAAAAAAAAGAUGUUAAUUUGUUCUCCAAACUGCUCAUUUCUUGGAUAUGGGAUUUCACUGGUAUUAAAGAAGACUAGUAGUGAUUAACGAUUGGGGUUUGGGACCCAGGGGAAUGUUAGGUUGCAAUUGCUGUACUUUUGAUUCCAAUGGCAGAAUUGUUCUAAAACCCUGGAGGGAGAACAUGUUGCUCCAGGAUCUCCAGAGAGUGAAAAGAAUGAACGUUUUUACCCAAUAGCUAAAGAUUCUACUCUUACCUGCAUGGGAAAUGGGGCCUGAAACUCACUGUUUCCAAAACCUUCAAUCUUAUAGUUGAGGCAAAGGGCUAUUGGAGCUUUCAGACUGGAAGAAUUCCUAUUCCAAGAGUGGCCCAUCAGCAACUGCUCACUCAGAGAACCGUGAGGCAAACUGUGUCAGCAUCUGGAGGAUCUCACAAGCUCUCUGCAGUUUCUGGACAAAUGGCGAGCCAUGAACUGAUUUAUUAAAGUCUCCUGUUAUGAUCUGCAGAGGGGUGGGGGGAAGAAGGGGGAAGAAAACAAGUAUUUAGUGGCGGUUGUCUCAGAUGUGAGAUAAGGGAUUUCCAUACAUUUUUCAUUCCAACAUUUUGAACAGUCAUUUCUGUUCUCCCCUACUUGGAUUUCUGUUCUGGCCAGCUCUGAUUGAAUCCAUUCAUCGCUUCUGGUUAUGGCUCUUGGGGAGCAGCCUGGUGUUUGCAGGCUCUACACUUUCAGGUGGCCAGAGGAGACACUAUAAUCAUCGGGGGAAGGAUCUUAUCCCUCUUUGUUGGUGGCUCCAUGCAUGCACCAUCUGCUAAGUCAGUCAACUGCUCUACUAUGUCUUGGCACACUUACAAGCUUAAGGAAGGCAGAACAUGGCAACUUUGGACUGCUUAUACCACUGCAGUGCUCCAAGUGUCACAUGGAGUAUACACCAUCGAGACGGGGCGCACUACAGUCCUGAUGGACUCUAGAGACUUUUCUGAAGGUGGCUACCUUUAAGGAUUUCCUAAAUGAAAUGUGAAAAAAGGUGAAAAAGCCCCCAAACACUGUACAACAGAAAUGUACUAUGACCAACCCAAGGUUUAUGUGAAUAUGGGAAUGAGAGACACGUGUGUUCAUUUUCAAAAGUGAAAGAAACAGGGGAUUUGGAGAAAAAAAUGUAUAGUUAGAAGACAUAUUUUUCUUUAAGUUUAUUAGACUUUGUCUCAUUUUCUCAGGAUAAAGUUCCUGAAAUUUGAUGUUAGGAACGGGGGUCUCAGUACCAAUUAACAAGACAAGGAGGUAGGAAGAUUGUGGGAAACCAUGGAGAAAAUGGGACAUGGCUUCAAAGCUUAAGAGACUGGCUUUAAUUGGAACUCUGAUCCAGGACAGUUCUGAAGGUCUGAUGAGAAAGAAUGCUAUCUACAUCUAGAGGAAGAAUUGUGGGGGCAGAAAUCCAGAAGGAAAUAUAUGAUUUAAUCACUUUUUUAUGUGGGUAUAGGAUUGGGGGUUUUGGUUUUAAAAGAUUACGCUAUUACAAAAAUGAAUAAUAAGGAAAUUUAGUAAGUUUCUGAGAUCUGAUUUGAACCCAGGACCUUCUGUUCUUAGGCCUGGCUCUCUAACCACUGAGCCACCUACCUGCCCCUGCCUCCACUUUCAAUGAACGUUUGUACCUGAUAAGAUGCAUUGUGAAAAGAUUCCUGGAGAUUCAUGGUCAGGACAUCCACGUCUGGUGGUUCUUCAGGGACCGCAGAUAUGGCGGACACAGGCUUUUCAGGUGGGAAUGUUGUGUUUGGGGGCAUUACUGAUGAAACCAGGGCAUUGUUGGACAUUUCUUGGCACAGGGUUUUUGACUAGAAAAUAUAAAGAAAAUGAUAAUAAACGAGAAGAUCUGCUCUUGCGCAUCGUUAAAGAAAUGAAA
Molecule: long non-coding RNA, 7060 nt
Organism: Monodelphis domestica (gray short-tailed opossum)
Lineage: Eukaryota; Metazoa; Chordata; Mammalia; Didelphimorphia; Didelphidae
Source: RefSeq, a predicted model, not a curated record